Acanthosepion pharaonis is the source of this 95-nucleotide non-coding RNA. NCBI's taxonomy places the organism in Eukaryota, Metazoa, Mollusca, Cephalopoda, Sepiida, Sepiidae. The record is from the annotation of a GenBank genome assembly.
AAUCACCGGUUCUCGUCCGAUCACCGAAGUUAAGCAAUGUCGAGCCUGUUCAAUACCUAGAUGAGUGACCGCUUACGUAUACCAGAUGCUGUAAG